Molecule: ribosomal RNA, 403 nt
Filed under: Verrucomicrobiota bacterium
Lineage: Bacteria; Pseudomonadati; Verrucomicrobiota
Description: Verrucomicrobia bacterium partial 16S ribosomal RNA
Rfam family: Bacterial small subunit ribosomal RNA
Source: RNAcentral
UGGGGAAUAUUGCACAAUGGGGGAAACCCUGAUGCAGCGACGCCGCGUGAGCGAAGAAGGUUUUCGAAUCGUAAAGCUCUGUCCUAUGAGAAGAUAAUGACGGUAUCAUAGGAGGAAGCCCCGGCUAAAUACGUGCCAGCAGCCGCGGUAAUACGUAUGGGGCGAGCGUUGUCCGGAAUUAUUGGGCGUAAAGGGUACGUAGGCGGUCUAUUAAGUCAGGUGUGAAAGCGUGAGGCUUAACCUCAUUAAGCACUUGAAACUGAUAGACUUGAGUGAAGGAGAGGAAGGUGGAAUUCCUAGUGUAGCGGUGAAAUGCGUGGAUAUUAGGAGGAAUACCGGUGGCGAAGGCGACUUUCUGGACUUUUACUGACGCUCAGGUACGAAGGCGUGGGGAGCAAACAGG